This 535-nucleotide ribosomal RNA is filed under the name uncultured bacterium. RNAcentral's name for it is "bacterial SSU rRNA". It matches the Rfam family "Bacterial small subunit ribosomal RNA", at positions 335 to 870 of the family's 1533-position model. The record is from RNAcentral.
CCUCCUACGGGAGGCAGCAGUGAGGAAUAUUGGUCAAUGGACGAAAGUCUGAACCAGCCAUGCCGCGUGCAGGACGACGGCCCUACGGGUUGUAAACUGCUUUUAUAUGGGAAUAAACCCUCGAACGUGUUCGAGGCUGAAGGUACCAUACGAAUAAGGAUCGGCUAACUCCGUGCCAGCAGCCGCGGUAAUACGGAGGAUCCAAGCGUUAUCCGGAUUCAUUGGGUUUAAAGGGUCCGCAGGCGGGAUAACAAGUCAGUGGUGAAAGCCUCCAGCUCAACUGGGGAAUUGCCAUUGAUACUGGUAUUCUUGAGUAUAGUUGAAGUGGGCGGAAUGAGUCAUGUAGCGGUGAAAUGCAUAGAUAUGACUCAGAACACCGAUUGCGAAGGCAGCUCACUAAACUAUUACUGACGCUCAGGGACGAAAGCGUGGGGAGCAAACAGGAUUAGAUACCCUGGUAGUCCACGCUGUAAACUAUGAUCACUCGCUGUUGGCGAUAUACUGUCAGCGGCCUAGCGAAAGCAUUAAGUGAUCC